CAUCCAUGAAGAUUUUAUUUUCUUCUUUUUGUUUCUUUCUUGUACGUUUCACAUUCGAAACCCACUUUUAGAAUUUGAAAUUUCCUCCAACUUAUGCGAAGAUCAGUCCCUUCCGAUCGUCUCCUCUUCUCCGAUCUUCCAAUUGAACAAGAAAUGCAAUCAAAGUGCUGGAAUUGAUUUCAGCACUCUCUAUUUUACGCCAUUUUGUACUGUAUUGAAACCCACCUGAAAUGGAUCGUAUUCUCUCAUCCGAACUCCCAACUGAAACCCUCCUCUCCUCUCCUCUCCUUUGAAACCAACUAAAAGUUUCCUCCAUUUUGUACUCCUCCGAAACCCAUUCUCCUUCUCUCCUCCGAAACCCAUUUUCCUCCUCUCCUCCAAAACCCAUUCUCCUCCGGUGCAAGAUCUUCCACUCCACUCCACGACGGUAAGAUAACCUAUGGCAUCGAGCACAUCAUCAUGUAUAGUCGAUGAUUUUUUGGAAUCACCAACAUGUUGGUGUGGCUUGAAAGCCCCAUUGAAGACCUCCCGAACUAACAAAAAUCCUGGGAGAAAAUUUUAUGCAUGCCUAAAAUACAACACGGUAAAACAUCGACAUUCUGAUUAUGUUUUGUAUUGAACUCCAAGUAGUUACUUUACUUACAUCUGUCAAUUAUAACUUUUGUACUGCACUGUAAGGAGAAGCAAAGUGCCAAUUCUUCAUAUGGGCAGAUAUACUUCAACUAGUCGAGGAUAAAAUUCGCUCAAGAGAGAAUGCAGUGAGAAAAAAGGAGGACGAUGUAUUGUUGCACGAGUAUGAAGUUCAGAAAAAAGAAGAUAAACUUGAAGAAAAAGAGAAUGUUCUUUACAAGCAAGAGGAGAAAAUUGGGAAGCAGAUCGUAGAGAAUAGAUGUGCACGCAUCUUUUUGUGUAUGUAUUGGGUGUUAUUGAUUGUAAUCAUUUCUGGUUGGCUUGACCCAUAAAUGUAUUUGGUGGAAGUUAGCUGUAAAUGGAUAGUUGACAUUUAACAUAACGUUCUGUAUUUUGAACAUGACCCAAUGUAUUUUAUGGGCUAGUAGUUGUAAACUUUUGGUAAUGAAAAUGGAUGCUUCCUGAAUGAAAAUUGAUGGUUCCUGGA
Carya illinoinensis is the source of this 1117-nucleotide long non-coding RNA. RefSeq lists it as uncharacterized. The transcript is spliced from 2 exons. Lineage: Eukaryota; Viridiplantae; Streptophyta; Magnoliopsida; Fagales; Juglandaceae. The record is from RefSeq and is a predicted model, not a curated record.